GACGAACGCUGGCGGCGUGCUUAACACAUGCAAGUCGAACGGAAAGGCCCUGCUUUUGUGGGGUGCUCGAGUGGCGAACGGGUGAGUAACACGUGAGUAACCUGCCCUUGACUUUGGGAUAACUUCAGGAAACUGGGGCUAAUACCGGAUAGGAGCUCCUGCUGCAUGGUGGGGGUUGGAAAGUUUCGGCGGUUGGGGAUGGACUCGCGGCUUAUCAGCUUGUUGGUGGGUAGUGGCUUACCAAGGCUUUGACGGGUAGCCGGCCUGAGAGGGCGACCGGCCACAUGGGGACUGAGAUACGGACCAGACUCGUACGGGAGGCAACGGUGGGGAAUAUUGCACAGUGGGGGGGAGCCAGAUACAGCAACGCCGCGUGCGGGAUGACGGCCUUCGGGUUGUAAACCGCUUUCGCCUGUGACGAAGCGUGAGUGACGGUAAUGGGUAAAGAAGCACCGGCUAACUACGUG
This 467-nucleotide ribosomal RNA is filed under the name uncultured bacterium. RNAcentral's name for it is "partial 16S ribosomal RNA". It matches the Rfam family "Bacterial small subunit ribosomal RNA", at positions 28 to 507 of the family's 1533-position model. The record is from RNAcentral.